Molecule: ribosomal RNA, 419 nt
Filed under: uncultured ammonia-oxidizing beta proteobacterium
Lineage: Bacteria; Pseudomonadati; Pseudomonadota; Betaproteobacteria
Description: bacterial SSU rRNA
Rfam family: Bacterial small subunit ribosomal RNA
Source: RNAcentral
UGGAGGAAAGUAGGGGAUCGUAAGACCUUGCGCUUUUGGAGCGGCCGAUGCCUGAUUAGCUAGUUGGUGGGGUAAAGGCUUACCAAGGCAACGAUCAGUAGUUGGUCUGAGAGGACGGCCAGCCACACUGGGACUGAGACACGGCCCAGACUCCUACGGGAGGCAGCAGUGGGGAAUUUUGGACAAUGGGCGCAAGCCUGAUCCAGCAAUGCCGCGUGAGUAAAGAAGGCCUUCGGGUUGUAAAGCUCUUUCAGUCGAGAAGAAAAGAUUGUGACGAAUAACCACAAUUCAUGACGGUAUCGACAGAAGAAGCACCGGCUAACUACGUGCCAGCAGCCGCGGUAAUACGUAGGGUGCAAGCGUUAAUCGGAAUUACUGGGCGUAAAGGGUGCGCAGGCGGCUUUGUAAGUCAGAUGUGA